This 253-nucleotide ribosomal RNA is filed under the name uncultured bacterium. RNAcentral describes it as "partial 16S ribosomal RNA". It matches the Rfam family "Bacterial small subunit ribosomal RNA", at positions 524 to 776 of the family's 1533-position model. The record is from RNAcentral.
UACGUAGGGGGCUAGCGUUGUCCGGAUUUAUUGGGCGUAAAGAGCGUGUAGGCGGCCAGGUAGGUCUGGUGUGAAAACUCGAGGCUCAACCUCGAGAUGUCAUCGGAAACCAUCUGGCUAGAGUCCGGAAGAGGAGAGUGGAAUUCCUGGUGUAGCGGUGAAAUGCGCAGAUAUCAGGAAGAACACCUAUGGCGAAGGCAGCUCUCUGGGACGGUACUGACGCUGAGACGCGAAAGCGUGGGGAGCGAACAGG